ACAAGCAGAUCUACAGUUUUCAGAGCAGAGUCCUAGGCUAUGUGUUAAAGAACAGGGAGCACUACCAUCCUGAGCCCACUGAGUAAAGAAAAUGGGCUGGUUUUGUUGUCAAAACUCCCAGUUCUAACUCUUGGCCUUUAGCUGCAUAGGAGGAUGGGAACUGAGAUUUUCUGUAGAGCCUGAAGGUCUGCUUCCCCUCCUCUUCAUGAGGAAGGGGGUCUCCUACUAUUUUCUUCUCUGUUUGGGCUAUUUUUACAACACCCUGGAAGGAGGUGCAUUUGCUAUGAUGUGCAGCUGGAGGGCUAUACUUCAGACCACAGGACGGCUAUUGCUCAUGGAACAACAUAUGAGGGCUUCCGGUGAUUGCCAGCUCAUGUUGGGUAUGAAAUGCAAGAACACUUUGUUGGCAAGAGAGAUUCACCAAUGAACAGCAAGAUGUUUGCCUCUUCCCUGAUCUGUUUUUGGUCUGGCAAAUGUUGUCAACAGCAACUCCAAAGACAGAUGGUUUUAAAAACAUCAAAAAAACAUCUGCAGGACUGAUUCAAUAAGCAGGGAAAAGAAGAUUCAAUCAUCUAAUGUUCCAUGAUGUACUUUAGAGACUUGAAACACUUAAACAUUAGCUUCUUGGAAUUAGCAGCAAUCUAUAAUGUUUUGGUAAGAAUUAAGUACCUAGUUAAACAAAUUAUUGUAUCGUAGGCUUCAUCUUAAUUCUGUUUUUUGUUAAGCACUGUGAGAGAGUACAAACAUUUCAAAAGUUACAGCAAUUGUACAGGCCAUUUACAAAUGCAGUAACUUAUCUUAACCAAAAUCAUAGCAUUCAUUAAACUUUUAAAAAUCUGCAAAAUUCCGUAUUACUUACUGCUCAGGUAAGCUUUCAAAGAGAGCAGGAGCUCCAACGCUUACUUUGAAUUUAAGAAAGUUUGUGUAUCUUUGUGGCAAGAACUAAAUGAUACUGAAAUGAAGAAGAUACAAUUUAAAAUGAAUAAACGGGACAAUUAAUUAGCUAAUAGCCAGAUUGGUCUUGGUCUGUAGGGCUAUUUUAAGAUCUUGUAUUAACUCUGGAGCUCUGCUUCCCUGCAGCAUCUGACAGCUUCCCUGUGCACAUUAUACUUGCUGGAAUAUAUAAUAUACUAGAUCCUGUCAGUAAAAAAAAAUUCCAUUCACCCCAAAUGACUACACCUUAAAGUAUGUGGCGC
Mauremys reevesii (Reeves's turtle) is the source of this 1196-nucleotide long non-coding RNA. RefSeq lists it as uncharacterized. The transcript is spliced from 3 exons. The record is from RefSeq and is a predicted model, not a curated record. Lineage: Eukaryota; Metazoa; Chordata; Testudines; Geoemydidae.